This 433-nucleotide ribosomal RNA is filed under the name uncultured bacterium. Its description in RNAcentral is "partial 16S ribosomal RNA". It matches the Rfam family "Bacterial small subunit ribosomal RNA", at positions 29 to 507 of the family's 1533-position model. The record is from RNAcentral.
AACGAACGCUGGCGGCAUGCCUAACACAUGCAAGUCGAACGAGACCUUCGGGUCUAGUGGCGCACGGGUGCGUAACGCGUGGGAACCUGCCCUUAGGUUCGGAAUAACUCCCCGAAAGGGGUGCUAAUACCGGAUAAUGUCUUCGGACCAAAGAUUUAUCGCCUUUGGAUGGGCCCGCGUUGGAUUAGCUAGUUGGUAGGGUAAAAGCCUACCAAGGCGAUGAUCCAUAGCUGGUCUGAGAGGAUGAUCAGCCACACUGGGACUGAGACACGGCCCAGACUCCUACGGGAGGCAGCAGUGGGUAAUAUUGGACAAUGGGCGAAAGCAUGAUCCAGCAAUGCCGCGUGAGUGAUGAAGGCCUUAGGGUUGUAAAGCUCUUUUACCCGGGAUGAUAAUGACAGUACCGGGAGAAUAAGCUCCGGCUAACUCCGUG